UUUUGGAUGAUGAACAAAAAAAACAUAUUAAGAUAUCUUGGCCGCAGGAGAGCCACUCUGGAAACUGUUCUUCGAGUUGGAGAAUGUUGAACAAUGGAGUCCGCAGCCUUCAUACUUGUUGUUUGCGCUUUCCGUACGCGGCGGAGGGACCUCUUCUCCGAUCAAUUUCGUAUCGGAGAAUUCGCCGCCGGCUUCUUUUUGCGACCUUCUGCUCUGCUGUAGCUACUGCCAAUAAGGAAAGGAAGCCGAAGGUGAUUGUUAUAUCUGGUCCGACUGGUGCUGGGAAGAGCAGGCUUGCUAUGGAGCUUGCUAAGCGUCUCAAUGGUGAAAUUAUCAGCGCCGACUCUGUGCAGGUAUACCAGGGUCUUGAUAUUGGAUCUGCGAAGCCUUCUGCCAGGGAUAGAAAGGAGGUUUCUCAUCAUCUGCUUGACAUUCUACGCCCAUCUGAAGAAUAUUCUGUUGGUCGGUUUUUUGAGGAUGCAAGGCAAGCGACAAGAUAUAUCCUUGAUAAUGGCCGUGUUCCAAUAGUUUCUGGUGGGACAGGAUUGUAUUUAAGAUGGUUCAUGUAUGGCAAACCCAAUGUUCCAAAGGCCUCUCCAGACAUUGCUGCCGAAGUAUGUUUUGAGUUAGCAGAAUUGCAGAGAAAUGAAGACUGGGAUGCAGCUGUGCAGUUGGUUGUUAAAGCUGGUGAUCCUAGAGCGCAGCAUUUAGCUACUAAUGAUUGGUACCGAUUGCGGCGUAGCUAUGAGAUUAUCAAGGCAAGUGGUUCACCUCCAUCUGCAUUUCAAGUUCCAUAUGACACUUUCAGACAAGAAUGUGGCUCUGGUGCAGCAAGCAGCUUUCAGGAUGCUGACAAUUCAGUUGACCCUCAUGUCGAGUCUAGCGAGGAAAUUAGGUCGAAAGAGUUGGAUUAUGACUUCAUUUGUUUCUUCCUCUCUAGUCCAAGGCUCAAUUUGUAUAGGUCAAUUGACUUCCGCUGUGAAGAUAUGAUUUCAGGAAGUGAUGGGAUUUUAUCUGAGGCAUCAUGGCUUCUUAAUAGCGGCCUUCUUCCAAAUUCAAAUUCUGCCACUCGAGCUAUUGGUUAUAGACAAGACUUGAACUCGGGACGACGAUUGACACUGCCCAACACGAUAGGGAGUCCUAUUUCCUUUCUGGCUAUGGAGUAUCUAUUAAGGUGUAGGCAGCAAGGUGGAAGGAGUUCUCCCGGAGAGUUCUAUGCCUUCCUCUCUGAAUUUCAGAAAGCAUCUAGAACACAUGGGAGUUGGGAUAAACAACCUCCUUUUUAAUGCAAAUACAACACCGAUCAGGGGAUACAUUUGGAUUUUUUGCCUACAUUGUAUCUCCGAGGUGUUAGACCUUCCAACAAUAAGCUCCUGCCUACUAAAUACAUCUCUGGGUGUUUACACUAAAAGGUAAAUUUGAUUGAAUGGAAGGACAUAAACGGUAGAACAGAGGUUGAGACCAACAGCCAGAAAAUACUUCCGGAAUCCUUUUUUAACCAGAUUACUCCUGGAUAUAUGAUUUCUGUUGAGAAUUUUAAAUGCAGUUAUAAGUGGUUGAUCUAAGAAUGUAGUACUAGCAUUAGCUUUAUAUUUUAUGGCCUUGCCCAAAGGUUCUUGUUGAUUCCUUGUGGGGGAAAUACUUUGAGUGGAAAACCAUGUUUAUGGUGCUAAAUACUCCUUAUGCUUUUGCGUUUUGUUGGAUUUCAAAUCAGAAACUGAAAAAUCACUGUGCAGAAAUUUUGCAAAAAGGCAAUUGACUUGGUUCCGGAAUGAGCGUAUAUAUCACUGGCUUGAUGCAUCCAAACCCCUGGAAAAUGCACUCAACUUUAUUUACGACGCUUACCACAGUGAAAGUGAAAAUAUCUCUGUUCCAGAUUCACUUG
RNA transcript from Benincasa hispida (wax gourd), 1885 nucleotides. It is a transcript of the gene named isopentenyltransferase 9, with no coding region annotated. Lineage: Eukaryota; Viridiplantae; Streptophyta; Magnoliopsida; Cucurbitales; Cucurbitaceae. The record is from RefSeq and is a predicted model, not a curated record.